UUGAAGAGUUUGAUCAUGGCUCAGAUUGAACGCUGGCGGCAGGCCUAACACAUGCAAGUCGAACGGUAACAGGAAACAGCUUGCUGUUUCGCUGACGAGUGGCGGACGGGUGAGUAAUGUCUGGGAAACUGCCCGAUGGAGGGGGAUAACUACUGGAAACGGUAGCUAAUACCGCAUAACGUCGCAAGACCAAAGAGGGGGACCUUAGGGCCUCUUGCCAUCGGAUGUGCCCAGAUGGGAUUAGCUAGUAGGUGGGGUAAAGGCUCACCUAGGCGACGAUCCCUAGCUGGUCUGAGAGGAUGACCAGCCACACUGGAACUGAGACACGGUCCAGACUCCUACGGGAGGCAGCAGUGGGGAAUAUUGCACAAUGGGCGCAAGCCUGAUGCAGCCAUGCCGCGUGUAUGAAGAAGGCCUUCGGGUUGUAAAGUACUUUCAGCGGGGAGGAAGGGAGUAAAGUUAAUACCUUUGCUCAUUGACGUUACCCGCAGAAGAAGCACCGGCUAACUCCGUGCCAGCAGCCGCGGUAAUACGGAGGGUGCAAGCGUUAAUCGGAAUUACUGGGCGUAAAGCGCACGCAGGCGGUUUGUUAAGUCAGAUGUGAAAUCCCCGGGCUCAACCUGGGAACUGCAUCUGAUACUGGCAAGCUUGAGUCUCGUAGAGGGGGGUAGAAUUCCAGGUGUAGCGGUGAAAUGCGUAGAGAUCUGGAGGAAUACCGGUGGCGAAGGCGGCCCCCUGGACGAAGACUGACGCUCAGGUGCGAAAGCGUGGGGAGCAAACAGGAUUAGAUACCCUGGUAGUCCACGCCGUAAACGAUGUCGACUUGGAGGUUGUGCCCUUGAGGCGUGGCUUCCGGAGCUAACGCGUUAAGUCGACCGCCUGGGGAGUACGGCCGCAAGGUUAAAACUCAAAUGAAUUGACGGGGGCCCGCACAAGCGGUGGAGCAUGUGGUUUAAUUCGAUGCAACGCGAAGAACCUUACCUGGUCUUGACAUCCACGGAAGUUUUCAGAGAUGAGAAUGUGCCUUCGGGAACCGUGAGACAGGUGCUGCAUGGCUGUCGUCAGCUCGUGUUGUGAAAUGUUGGGUUAAGUCCCGCAACGAGCGCAACCCUUAUCCUUUGUUGCCAGCGGUCCGGCCGGGAACUCAAAGGAGACUGCCAGUGAUAAACUGGAGGAAGGUGGGGAUGACGUCAAGUCAUCAUGGCCCUUACGACCAGGGCUACACACGUGCUACAAUGGCGCAUACAAAGAGAAGCGACCUCGCGAGAGCAAGCGGACCUCAUAAAGUGCGUCGUAGUCCGGAUUGGAGUCUGCAACUCGACUCCAUGAAGUCGGAAUCGCUAGUAAUCGUGGAUCAGAAUGCCACGGUGAAUACGUUCCCGGGCCUUGUACACACCGCCCGUCACACCAUGGGAGUGGGUUGCAAAAGAAGUAGGUAGCUUAACCUUCGGGAGGGCGCUUACCACUUUGUGAUUCAUGACUGGGGUGAAGUCGUAACAAGGUAACCGUAGGGGAACCUGCGGUUGGAUCACCUCCUU
This 1538-nucleotide ribosomal RNA is filed under the name Escherichia coli. RNAcentral's name for it is "bacterial SSU rRNA". It matches the Rfam family "Bacterial small subunit ribosomal RNA". The record is from RNAcentral. Lineage: Bacteria; Pseudomonadati; Pseudomonadota; Gammaproteobacteria; Enterobacterales; Enterobacteriaceae.